Molecule: long non-coding RNA, 367 nt
Organism: Carassius carassius (crucian carp)
Lineage: Eukaryota; Metazoa; Chordata; Actinopteri; Cypriniformes; Cyprinidae
Exons: 3
Source: RefSeq, a predicted model, not a curated record
ACUUACCGUUGACAUAUCACAUCGUAUGAUGGUCCAUGAUUCUCACCGUUUAACGUAUGCGCUUCCUGAUCCCUGGCAGGAGAGAACGACGCCACAAUGACUAACGCUACUUCCGGUUAAAAAAUCGACCUUCAAAAUACCGAAGAAAGCCAGUAAUACAGAUCUGGAACGACAUGAGGGGGAGUGAAGAUGCUGAUCUGACAAACCCAGAGCUGCCACUCGCACCAGAAUGUGAUGAACGGCUGAAUCCAUUAAGUCUAGGCCAGCAGAUCACCGCAUAAUGCCUUUGAAGUCAAUCAUCACGAUUUACAUAUUCAACUUGAUGAGGACUUAUGCUCAGAUGAGACAUAUUGUUAACAAACUACCA